RNAcentral lists this small RNA (164 nucleotides) under human gut metagenome. Its description in RNAcentral is "Clostridiales-1 RNA". It matches the Rfam family "Clostridiales-1 RNA". The record is from RNAcentral.
GAUGCCAGGGGCAAAAGCCUGAAACCACGAUGUGCUUGCACAUGAGUGGUUUUAUGGCUUAAUGCCCCGCCCCCAAAUAUGAGCAUAAAAGCGAAGCGUAAGCUUCACGAUAUGCGAAUAUAGGGGCGGAUUGUGAGAGUGCAAAGCACAUAACAAUCCGUAUG